This 2748-nucleotide non-coding RNA is filed under the name Drosophila sechellia. RNAcentral describes it as "Eukaryotic large subunit ribosomal RNA". It matches the Rfam family "Eukaryotic large subunit ribosomal RNA", at positions 1 to 2392 of the family's 3401-position model. The record is from Rfam by way of RNAcentral. Lineage: Eukaryota; Metazoa; Arthropoda; Insecta; Diptera; Drosophilidae.
ACACUCGAACUCAUAUGGGACUACCCCCUGAAUUUAAGCAUAUUAAUUAGGGGAGGAAAAGAAACUAACAAGGAUUUUCUUAGUAGCGGCGAGCGAAAAGAAAACAGUUCAGCACUAAGUCACUUUGUCUAUAUGGCAAAUGUGAGAUGCAGUGUAUGGAGCGUCAAUAUUCUAGUAUGAGAAAUUAAUGAUUUAAGUCCUUCUUAAAUGAGGCCAUUUACCCAUAGAGGGUGCCAGGCCCGUAUAACGUUAAUGAUUGCUAGAUGAUGUUUCCAAAGAGUCGUGUUGCUUGAUAGUGCAGCACUAAGUGGGUGGUAAACUCCAUCUAAAACUAAAUAUAACCAUGAGACCGAUAGUAAACAAGUACCGUGAGGGAAAGUUGAAAAGAACUCUGAAUAGAGAGUUAAACAGUACGUGAAACUGCUUAGAGGUUAAGCCCGAUGAACCUGAAUAUCCGUUAUGGAAAAUUCAUCAUUAAAAUUGUAAUAUUUAAAUAAUAUUAUUAAGAAUAAUGUGCAUUUUUUCCAUAUAAGGACAUUGUAAUCUAUUAGCAUAUCCCAAAUUUAUCAUAAAAUAUAACUUAUAGUUUAUUCCAAUUAAAUUGCUUGCAUUUUAACACAGAAUAAAUGUUAUUAAUUUGAUAAAGUGCUGAUAGAUUUAUAUUAUUACAGAGCGUUAAUUUUUCGGAAUUAUAUAAUGGCAUAAUUAUCAUUGAUUUUGGUGUUUAUUAUAUGCUCUGGUAUGAUUAACAAUGCGAAAGAUUCAGGAUACCUUCGGGACCCGUCUUGAAACACGGACCAAGGAGUCUAACAUAUGUGCAAGUUAUUGGGAUGUAAACCUAAUAGCGUAAUUAACUUGACUAAAUAAUGGGAUUAGUUUUUUAGCUAUUUAUAGCUAAUUAACACAAUCCCGGGGCGUUCUAUAUAGUUAUGUAUAAUGUAUAUUUAUAUUAUUUAUGCCUCUAACUGGAACGUACCUUGAGCAUAUAUGCUGUGACCCGAAAGAUGGUGAACUAUACUUGAUCAGGUUGAAGUCAGGGGAAACCCUGAUGGAAGACCGAAACAGUUCUGACGUGCAAAUCGAUUGUCAGAAUUGAGUAUAGGGGCGAAAGACCAAUCGAACCAUCUAGUAGCUGGUUCCUUCCGAAGUUUCCCUCAGGAUAGCUGGUGCAUUUUAAUAUUAUAUAAAAUAAUCUUAUCUGGUAAAGCGAAUGAUUAGAGGCCUUAGGGUCGAAACGAUCUUAACCUAUUCUCAAACUUUAAAUGGGUAAGAACCUUAACUUUCUUGAUAUGAAGUUCAAGGUUAUGAUAUAAUGUGCCCAGUGGGCCACUUUUGGUAAGCAGAACUGGCGCUGUGGGAUGAACCAAACGUAAUGUUACGGUGCCCAAAUUAACAACUCAUGCAGAUACCAUGAAAGGCGUUGGUUGCUUAAAACAGCAGGACGGUGAUCAUGGAAGUCGAAAUCCGCUAAGGAGUGUGUAACAACUCACCUGCCGAAGCAACUAGCCCUUAAAAUGGAUGGCGCUUAAGUUGUAUACCUAUACAUUACCGCUAAAGUGGAUGAUUUAUAUUACUUGUGAUAUAAAUUUUGAAACUUUAGUGAGUAGGAAGGUACAAUGGUAUGCGUAGAAGUGUUUGGCGUAAGCCUGCAUGGAGCUGCCAUUGGUACAGAUCUUGGUGGUAGUAGCAAAUAAUCGAAUGAGACCUUGGAGGACUGAAGUGGAGAAGGGUUUCGUGUGAACAGUGGUUGAUCACGAGUUAGUCGGUCCUAAGUUCAAGGCGAAAGCCGAAAAUUUUCAAGUAAAACAAAAAUGCCUAACUAUAUAAACAAAGCGAAUAUAAUACACUUGAAUAAUUUUGAACGAAAGGGAAUACGGUUCCAAUUCCGUAACCUGUUGAGUAUCCGUUUGUUAUUAAAUAUGGGCCUCGUGCUCAUCCUGGCAACAGGAACGACCAUAAAGAAGCCGUCGAGAGAUAUCGGAAGAGUUUUCUUUUCUGUUUUAUAGCCGUACUACCAUGGAAGUCUUUCGCAGAGAGAUAUGGUAGAUGGGCUAGAAGAGCAUGACAUAUACUGUUGUGUCGAUAUUUCUCCUCGACCUUGAAAAUUUAUGGUGGGGACACGCCAACUUCUCACAGGCCGUACCAAUAUCCGCAGCUGGUCUCCAAGGUGAAGAGUCUCUAGUCGAUAGAAUUAAUGUAGGUAAGGGAAGUCGGCAAAUUAGAUCCGUAACUUCGGGAUAAGGAUUGGCUCUGAAGAUUGAGAUAGUCGGGCUUGAUUGGGAAACAAUAACAUGGUUUAUGUGCUCGUUCUGGGUAAAUAGAGUUUCUAGCAUUUAUGUUAGUUACUUGUUCCCCGGAUAGUUUAGUUACGUAGCCAAUUGUGGAACUUUCUUGCUAAAAUUUUUAAGAAUACUAUUUGGGUUAAACCAAUUAGUUCUUAUCAAUUAUAACGAUUAUCAAUUAACAAUCAAUUCAGAACUGGCACGGACUUGGGGAAUCCGACUGUCUAAUUAAAACAAAGCAUUGUGAUGGCCCUAGCGGGUGUUGACACAAUGUGAUUUCUGCCCAGUGCUCUGAAUGUCAAAGUGAAGAAAUUCAAGUAAGCGCGGGUCAACGGCGGGAGUAACUAUGACUCUCUUAAGGUAGCCAAAUGCCUCGUCAUCUAAUUAGUGACGCGCAUGAAUGGAUUAACGACGGACGUGUUUUCGUUGCGCUCGUGUACAGAUUGCGAAGAACUUGGUUUUCCGU